AACGAACGCUGGCGGCAUGCCUAACACAUGCAAGUCGAACGAGACCUUCGGGUCUAGUGGCGCACGGGUGCGUAACGCGUGGGAACCUGCCUUUAGGUUCGGAAUAACUCAGAGAAAUUUGAGCUAAUACCGGAUGAUGUCUUCGGACCAAAGAUUUAUCGCCUUUAGAUGGGCCCGCGUUGGAUUAGCUAGUUGGUGGAGUAAAGGCCUACCAAGGCGACGAUCCAUAGCUGGUCUGAGAGGAUGAUCAGCCACACUGGGACUGAGACACGGCCCAGACUCCUACGGGAGGCAGCAGUGGGGAAUAUUGGACAAUGGGCGAAAGCCUGAUCCAGCAAUGCCGCGUGAGUGAUGAAGGCCUUAGGGUUGUAAAGCUCUUUUACCCGAGAUGAUAAUGACAGUAUCGGGAGAAUAAGCUCCGGCUAACUCCGUG
Molecule: ribosomal RNA, 433 nt
Filed under: uncultured bacterium
Lineage: Bacteria
Description: partial 16S ribosomal RNA
Rfam family: Bacterial small subunit ribosomal RNA
Source: RNAcentral